This 3008-nucleotide unclassified non-coding RNA is filed under the name Pomacea canaliculata. RNAcentral's name for it is "serine/threonine-protein phosphatase 6 regulatory subunit 3-like, transcript variant X1". Lineage: Eukaryota; Metazoa; Mollusca; Gastropoda; Architaenioglossa; Ampullariidae. The record is from RNAcentral.
GAGAUCUCGAAGCAUUAUGGGCGGUAGCGAGAAGAAUCAGUGGGAGCCAUUGCACAGCACGAAAGUGCUUCCCGCGUGUGAGAACUCAUAAUAUUGCGAGUAACCUAACAUGAAUUGUGCUGUAUGCUUAGUUUGAAAUGAGGAUUAUCGUUUUAUUCAGUGCAAACAAUCCAAGUACGCAUGCAUCUGUGUAGCAGACAGUGACAUUUAUUCAGCGCCGUAAGCGCUAAAAUGUGGGAGGAAGACUUUAGUCAUCAUGCAAUGUGAAUGGAAAUAAUUCUGUUGGACAAAGAAAGGAAGUUCUUGAGGACAAAGAAAGUGCUAAGAUAUAAAAGAUGUUCUGGAAGUUUAACUUGUUAACAUCCUCCCAUGUGGACACGCUGCUUGAGAAGGAGGAGGUGACUUUGAGAGAACUGAUGGAUGAAGAUGACAUCCUUCAGGAGUGCAAAGCACAAAAUAGGAAGUUGAUUGAUUUUCUGACACAACCUGCAAACAUGGAGGAUAUGGUGUCAAUGAUCAUCAGGGAGCCAGCAGUUGACAUGGAAGAGCGACUGCGUUUUAAGUAUCCAAACACAGCUUGUGAGUUGUUGACUUCAGAUGUGUCACAGAUCAAUGAUAAAUUGGCCAGUGAUAGAGACUUAAUAGAUAAGUUGUACUACUUUUUGGAAGCUGACACUCCUCUGAAUCCUUUGCUUGCAUCUUUCUUCUCAAAGAUUAUGGGUCUGCUGAUCACAAGAAAGAGUGAAAUGAUUUUUGAAUAUUUGAAAGGCCAAAAAGACUUUGUCGGCAGCUUACUUCAUCAUAUAGGCACAUCAGCCAUUAUGGAUUUACUGCUUCGCCUAAUUACAUGCAUAGAAUCACCUGAAACAAGACGUGCUGUGAUAGAAUGGUUGAAUGAGCAGCAAAUUGUUCAAAGGCUUGUUGACUGUAUAGUCCCUUCCAAGGAUGAAGAUGUUCACUGCAAUGCUGCCCAGUCUCUUUGUGAUAUUGUGCGGUUAGGGCGAGAGCAGAUUAUCCAGCUGCAGGACACAAAUGAUCCUGAUCCACUCUUAGCUACCAUGGAAUUAGAAGAAACUGUUUCGAAGUUAAUAUCAAACAUGUUUGAUUUGGAGGAGAACGAAUCGGUUAUUGUCAAUGGCCUUUUUGUUAUUCAUACACUGCUGGAAGUCAGACGUCAAGGACCUGAGGCAGUUGGUGAGCAUUUGAACAUGACAGAGACAGAGCAUUCUCAGGGGAUCAACAAUGUCCUUGCAGCAAUAAAACCACGUCUCAAACAUUUUCAUGAAUUGCUGACCAACCCUCCAAAGCAACGUUAUAGUUCUAUGCCAACAUCUGUUGGAGCACUUGAGCCCCCUCUUGGAAAUGCCCGUCUACAAGUUGCAAAGCUUAUAACAGCACUAGUAGCUAGGAAUACAGGCACUAUCAAUGAAGAGCUUGUGCAUUUGAAGACUCUUCAUGCUCUGUUGGAUUUGUAUUUUCAGUAUACCUGGAACAACUUUUUACACACUCAAGUCGAACAGUGCAUCCUUCUAAUUCUCAAUAACCCAGCUCAAGAGAAGAACAACACUGAAGAUCACCUACUGCUUGCUCAGUUGUUGACGGAUGUGAAGCUGGUGCAGAGACUUCUGACUGAGUGGCAAGACAAUGAUCAUCAACAGUUACACAAAUGUUUCAGAAAGACUGAAGGAGGGCGAAGAAAAGGAUUUAUGGGUCAUCUAACUAAGAUGGCAAAUGCAGUGACCAGUGCAGUGGAGAAGGGCUGUAACAGUGAACUCAUCAAAAAAUAUUUAACUGACCUGCCUGAAGAUUAUAAGCAAAAGUGGGAAUCAUUUGUUUCCGGCACACUUGCAGAGAUCAACAAGAAAAAUGCUAUUGAAUUUAGAGGACAUCCACUGGCUUCUAGCAGUGAAGAUGAUGAUUCUGAUUUUAAAGACAUUCCAUUUCCCCAGGAUACAGCCAUGCAGCAAGCCUUCUCUGAUUACCAGUUGCAACAGAUGACAAGCAACUUCAUAGACCAGUUUGGGUUCAAUGAAGAGGAAUUUGCUGAACAGGAGGAUAAAAUUGAUGCACCAUUUUCUGACAGGAUAUCCAGUAUCAAUUUCAACAUUCAAGCCAAUGAAGUCGCUCACCCAAACUCAACUAUGUUUGAGCAAGCUUGUAACGAGCGGAUUCAACAAUUUGAUGAUGACGAUAGUGAUGAAGACAUUUGGGUUGAGAAACCACUUACCUUUGACAGAAAUGCAAAACAGACUCGCUCUGGGCGUUUACAGGGAGAAGCAGUACAGGUCAGUAGUAGCGAUGACAGCACUGAUAGUGAAGAAGAAUUGGAUUCGCCCCAUUCCAUUGCUCAACAGCCAUCCUCUGCUGCAAGUUCUUCAGUUAGUACUACUGCAACAGUUAGUGUGCCAUUCAUCACAGGAGCUGCAGAAAAAAUGGAUAUAGACACAUCAGAAGCAUCUUGGCCAGCAGAUUUAACCUGUAGUCAACAGUCAUCACAAAUUGAAUCGUCUGCAAUGGACACUGGCUCACCAUGGGAAAGUAAUAGUCUGCCAGCAGAGUCACGUGAAGGUUGGGCUAACUUUGACAAAUCUGAGGCACAGGAAGACAGUUGGGCAGAUUUUAAUUCCUUUUCAACUAUAACAAGGGAUAACGCUGGCCCAAGAAGUAGCUCACCUGUUGACAUGGAUACUUCAGAAAAUUCCAAAGGAAAUGUUUACGGUCCAUGUUGAGCUCUGUGACCUGAAGCAUACUCUCCAGCAAGCUGAGCAUGUUUGGUGGAAGACUGGACGCACCAUCCACAAAGAUUUAUAACGCCGCUAAGCAUUGCAGAAUGUGUCAACAAGGCCAAGACAUCAUAUCUUCAGGCCCAAUGUUAAAUACAGAUUCUUCGUCAACAUCAAGCUGUGUGUCUGGAUGUUUGGAGAUAAAAGUUACAAAGCAUCAUACUGAAGACCAGUGUUUGACCAAUUCCAUAAAGGGAUUUCAUUUAGAAAUGUCAACACCAGUCG